GUGGGUGUAGCUCAGCUGGUAGAGCACCGCGUUGUGGUCGCGGUGGCCGCGGGUUCGAGCCCCGUCACUCACC
RNAcentral lists this transfer RNA (73 nucleotides) under Pseudokineococcus marinus. Its description in RNAcentral is "Kineococcus marinus tRNA". It matches the Rfam family "tRNA". Rfam says of the family: Transfer RNA (tRNA) molecules are approximately 80 nucleotides in length. Their secondary structure includes four short double-helical elements and three loops (D, anti-codon, and T loops). The record is from Rfam by way of RNAcentral. RNAcentral also lists the same sequence under 1 other name. Lineage: Bacteria; Bacillati; Actinomycetota; Actinomycetes; Kineosporiales; Kineosporiaceae.